UACGUAGGGACCAAGCGUUGUUCGGAUUUACUGGGCGUAAAGGGCGCGUAGGCGGCAUGACAAGUCACUUGUGAAAUCUCCGGGCUUAACUCGGAACGGUCAAGUGAUACUGUCGCGCUAGAGUGCGGAAGGGGCAAUCAGAAUUCUUGGUGUAGCGGUGAAAUGCGUAGAUAUCAAGAGGAAUACCUGAGGUGAAGACGGGUUGCUAGGCCGACACUGACGCUGAAGCGCGAAAGUCAGGGGAGCAAACGGG
This 253-nucleotide ribosomal RNA is filed under the name uncultured bacterium. RNAcentral's name for it is "partial 16S ribosomal RNA". It matches the Rfam family "Bacterial small subunit ribosomal RNA", at positions 524 to 776 of the family's 1533-position model. The record is from RNAcentral.